UGCAAGCGUUAAUCGGAAUUACUGGGCGUAAAGCGUGCGUAGGUGGUUUGUUAAGUUAGAUGUGAAAGCCCUGGGCUCAACCUAGGAACUGCAUUUAAAACUGGCAAACUAGAGUAUAGGAGAGGAAAGUGGAAUUUCAGGUGUAGCGGUGAAAUGCGUAGAUAUCUGAAGGAACAUCAAUGGCGAAGGCAGCUUUCUGGACUAAUACUGACACUGAGGUACGAAAGCGUGGGUAGCAAACAGGAUUAGAUACCCUGGUAGUCCACGCCGUAAACGAUGACAACUAGCCGUUGGGAGGGUUUACCUCUUAGUGGCGAAGCUAACGCGUUAAGUUGUCCGCCUGGGGAGUACGGCCGCAAGGUUAAAACUCAAAGGAAUUGACGGGGACCCGCACAAGCGGUGGAGCAUGUGGUUUAAUUCGAUGCAACGCGAAGAACCUUACCUGGUCUUGACAUACACGGAACUUUCCAGAGAUGGAUUGGUGCCUUCGGGAACCGUGAUACAGGUGCUGCAUGGCUGUCGUCAGCUCGUGUCGUGAGAUGUUGGGUUAAGUCCCGUAACGAGCGCAACCCUUAUCCUUAUUUGCCAGCACAUCAUGGUGGGAACUAUAAGGAGACUGCCGGUGAUAAACCGGAGGAAGGCGGGGACGACGUCAAGUCAUCAUGGCCCUUACGACCAGGGCUACACACGUGCUACAAUGGGAAGGACAAAGGGU
Molecule: ribosomal RNA, 715 nt
Filed under: marine metagenome
Description: bacterial SSU rRNA
Rfam family: Bacterial small subunit ribosomal RNA
Source: RNAcentral